GGGCGGCCCUCGGCUCACUUCCUGCUUGCUCCAACUUUCAGCCUGCCCCCGCCCACCUCGCAUCCCGAGCGGUUCCAGCCUCACCUCCGGCAGGUUCCCCCAGAGUUCAACAAUCCCUUCAGGAGCCACCAUGAGGGGUUGGUGAGCCGAGUCAGAAAUGGUCAGAUGCCUGCCCUAUGGACCAGAGAAGGGCCCCAGGGCAAAGGAUUUUUCCACCACCUGGCUCCAGGACAGAAAAUCCAGUCUUCCUGGAUGGUAUUUAUGAAGACAGAACAAUAACAGGGUCACACAAAAGGGAACAAACAUUCCUGUCCCAUCCCAGAAGUAUCAGUUCUAAGAGGGAAAUGUCAGCUUCUCUAACACAUGCUUUUUCAAAGGAUUUAACAAAUUUUGGACCUCAGUUUUGAGACACUUUAUUCUACUUUAUAAUGAAAUCUUAUCCCAAUUUAGAUAUUAUAUUUUGCAAACCUGAAUUUCGAUGGACAGUACCAGCCUGCUUUCACCAUCCUUAGAAAAGCUAUAAAGUAGAGGCGCCUGGUGGCUCAGUAGGUUCAGCAUCCGACUUCGGCUCAGGUCAUGAUCUCACCAUUAGUGAGUUCAAGCCCCGCGUGGGGCUCUGUGCUGACAGCACGGAGCCUGGAGCCUGCUUCAGAUUCUGUGUCUCCCUCUCUCUCUGCCCCUCCCCCGUUCAUGCUCCGUCUCUCUCUGUCUCAAAAAUAAAUAACAUUAAAAAAAAAAAAAAAGCUAUAAAGUGAUCAAGUGGAGGUGGGUCAGAAUCCUUGAUCUGUACUUGUGCUGUCCAGUACAGUAGCCACUGACCUCAUGUGCACAUAGUACUAUGUACUGUAUACUGUGAACAUAGUACUUGAACUAUGGCUAAUCUGAACUGAGAAGUGAGGGGCCCCUGGGAGGCUCAGUGGUUGACUUUGGCUCAGAUCAUGAUCUCAUGGCUCUUGUAUUCAAGCCCCACAUCCUCAGGCAAAGCCCUGAUAGUGCGGAGUCUAUUUCAGAUUCUCUGUCUCUCUCUGUCUCUCUCUCUCUCUGCCCCUCCCCUACUCUCUCUCUCAAAAAAAAAAAUUUAAACAAAUUAGAAUGAACUGAGAAGUGAUGUAAGAGUAAAUAAAGUACACUCUGUAUUUCAAAGAGUUGUUAUGCAAAAAAGAAUGUAAAUAUCUCACUAGUCAUUUUACAUACUGAUGACAUGUUGAAAUAAUGUUGUAGUAUAUUGAAUUAAAUUUUAAAAAUUGAUAAAA
Long non-coding RNA from Leopardus geoffroyi (Geoffroy's cat), 1253 nucleotides. RefSeq lists it as uncharacterized. The record is from RefSeq and is a predicted model, not a curated record. The transcript is spliced from 2 exons. NCBI's taxonomy places the organism in Eukaryota, Metazoa, Chordata, Mammalia, Carnivora, Felidae.